Non-coding RNA from Acanthosepion pharaonis, 110 nucleotides. NCBI's taxonomy places the organism in Eukaryota, Metazoa, Mollusca, Cephalopoda, Sepiida, Sepiidae. The record is from the annotation of a GenBank genome assembly.
UUACAGCCAUAUCACGUUGAAAUACCGGUUCUCGUACGAUCACCGAAGUUAAGCAACGUUGAGUUUGGUGGGUACUGAUAUGGGUGAGAGCUUAGGCAUAAUAGGUGCUA